Molecule: long non-coding RNA, 762 nt
Filed under: Homo sapiens (human)
Lineage: Eukaryota; Metazoa; Chordata; Mammalia; Primates; Hominidae
Description: non-protein coding lnc-SLIT2-1:3
Source: RNAcentral
ACACCGCUCCUGGAGCGAUUGUUUCAAUGUUGCUUGCUCGGAAUGGCCCUCCUGAGCAAACAACAGACGGUGCUCAAAGUAACAACUGGACUUAAUAAAAGGAGCUUACACGAAGGAGGAGCUGAAGGCUGCUGUGGUCGUGUGCUGGGGGCUGCCCCAGCUCCAGCUGCAGGACCCCGGCCGUCUGCCUUCCGACUCCGGUGAUGAUUCUUCCUGCGGUCUGAUCAAGAUUCUAUGCAGUUAACUUUGUAUCCAAGGAUCUAUAGCCAAGAAAUUUGGAGCUCAGUUUCAAACAUGCCAGCAGUGUAAACCCUUGCCCUUGCUGAAAGAAAGAAAAAGAAAGAAAGAAAGAAAGAAAGAAAGAAAGAAAGAAAGAAAGAAAGAAAGAAAGAAAGAAAGAAAGAACAAACGAACCUCUGGAUGUUGCCAAAUAUCACCAUAUCACCUAUGGGGAAAAAAUCUCUUGAAACGUGGUCUCACUCUGUCACACAGAGUGGAAUGAAGUGGCAUGAUCUCAGCUCACUGCAACCUCUGCCUCCCUGGCUCAAGCAAUCCUCUCAUCUCAGCCUCUUGAGUAGCUGGGACUACAGGCACACACCACCACACCUGGCUAAUUUUUGUGUAUUUUGUAGAGACAGUUUUGCUACGUUGCUCAGGCUGGUCUGGAACUCCUGGACUCAAGCAGUUUACCUGCCUCAGCCUCCCACAAGUGCUGAGCCACUGUGCCUGGCCAAAAAAAACUUUCUCAAUUGAGGAAUAUUG